This 27-nucleotide non-coding RNA is filed under the name Rattus norvegicus (Norway rat). Lineage: Eukaryota; Metazoa; Chordata; Mammalia; Rodentia; Muridae. The record is from RNAcentral.
UGAAGCGGGGCCAUUCCAGAUUGGUGU